This is a small nucleolar RNA of Notamacropus eugenii (tammar wallaby), 132 nucleotides long. The record is from Ensembl. Lineage: Eukaryota; Metazoa; Chordata; Mammalia; Diprotodontia; Macropodidae.
CAGCAUGUCUCAUCAAGGGCUGUGGCUUGAAGUAGCCGCAGGGUCUCCAACUACAUGCGAGAACAUGUUGGAAAGACUUUGACAGCCCAGGUCACUUGGUAUCUGUAGCUGCCACUCAACUUUCCUAUAUUU